This 486-nucleotide long non-coding RNA is filed under the name Struthio camelus australis. RNAcentral's name for it is "lncRNA (ENSSCUG00000016168.1)". The record is from RNAcentral. Lineage: Eukaryota; Metazoa; Chordata; Aves; Struthioniformes; Struthionidae.
GUGCGUGCUAGUCCUCGGUGCCACCAUGGCCACAGAGCUUCUGCCUCACCUCGCAUGGGCUAGAAGCACAGCAGAGAUGAGGACACAUUUCCAGCACUUGGCCAGUUGCUACCGCUGUGUCAUAGAAAGAGAAGUGACUGUUUUUAAUUACUGGGAAGGACACAACCUACUUACCAGUAGGAAAUGAAAGCUUCCUUAGACUAAAAUCCUGAAGAAAACAUUGAAUAUGGUAAAAUUGAAUCAUGAUAUAGGAUGACCUUAGACACCGAAUCUUAUGAAGUCUAUGAAAUUACUGCACCGAGCUUCAUAAAGAAUCAUGAAAGGGCACAAACCAGAAGUGACUCAUCUAUUGAUGCUGCUGUGCCGACACAGCUUGGCAAAUGACCUGGAUAACAUCACAGAAAAAAAAAAAAAAGGUAAAUGUAAUUGGGGUGUGUGUGUCCAGCACACGAAACUGUCUGGUGGGAUCUUUUUUAAAACAGUAAG